UGCUCGAAUAGCUCAGUUGGCUUGAGUGUGUAGCUGUUAACCAUAAGGUCGGAGGUUCAAGCCCUCCUACUAGCGU
Molecule: transfer RNA, 76 nt
Filed under: Amborella trichopoda
Lineage: Eukaryota; Viridiplantae; Streptophyta; Magnoliopsida; Amborellales; Amborellaceae
Description: tRNA AMTR_s01539t00273370
Rfam family: tRNA
About the family: Transfer RNA (tRNA) molecules are approximately 80 nucleotides in length. Their secondary structure includes four short double-helical elements and three loops (D, anti-codon, and T loops).
Source: RNAcentral